AAAGGUUGAACCUCAACCCUGAGGGCCUUCACCGUCCCGCCCUUAGAGCUUUGUGAGGGAGAUAAAUCGCGGGAUAUGCCCCAACAGGUCAGGGAACAAAAGCUACCUAUACACUGAGCUUACAAGGAGUCCAAAUCCAUAUCUCAGGAAUCGAACCCCUACACUGCAGCUGCCAGCAAGACGUGAGAUAACCUCACUCAUGUCCUUUGUACCAUUGGACUAUGCCCCGAGGGGCUACUGAUUGUGUGUAUAUAGUUGUAUGUAAGUGUGUUUGCACAUUUCCAUGGCUUCUCUAUUUUCUUUCAUUUAUUUUCCAUUAAAACCAUUAGCUCAUAUUGAAUUUAAAACCACUGCCAAUCAAUACUUAAAGCCAAAUUACAUUAAUUUAAUAUUUUAAUUACAUAUCUUGUCAUAUUGGUAAGAGCUCUAUCCGGUGGAUAGUAGGUGGGUCAAGGGCCAGUGAAAUGAAAAAUUUCAAAAGAAAUUAUUUUUAAUUGAUUUCGACAAAUAUUUGAAUACGAUGCAUUUUUAGCAUGACGUGAUGUAAUAUAUUAUUAUUAUCAUACUCAUGACAUGUAUGAUUUUUGUUUACUAAGCAUUAGUUUAUGUAAUUCUUGCAUUGUAGGUGAGCAUAGAGGUUCUAGUUGGCUGUAAAGCUUUUAUGGGAUUUCAGAGUUUAAUGUACAUGGAUGCCGACCUUUAAGGUUAUUUUG
This 713-nucleotide long non-coding RNA is filed under the name Olea europaea (common olive). RNAcentral's name for it is "long non-coding RNA (OEUR_LNC006768)". Lineage: Eukaryota; Viridiplantae; Streptophyta; Magnoliopsida; Lamiales; Oleaceae. The record is from RNAcentral.